RNAcentral lists this unclassified non-coding RNA (240 nucleotides) under soil metagenome. Its description in RNAcentral is "partial contains 5.8S ribosomal RNA, internal transcribed spacer 2, and large subunit ribosomal RNA". The record is from RNAcentral.
AACGCACGAGACCUGCGGACCUGCGGAAGGAUCAUUACAGGACUCGCAAGACUCCUACAACCCUGUGAACUUAACUAUAAGCACGUUGCUUCGGCGGGUGUCUCGGCGAGGGUUCUCCCUCCCCGGGGCGCUAAGCCCGCCGGCAGCCUACUAUACUCUGUCUCUUUGCGUUGGCAUCUCGAGUACAAACAAACAAGUUAAAACUUUUAACAACGGAUCUCUAGAUCGGAAGAGCACACG